GGCAUAACUCCGGGAAACUGGAGAUAAUUCCGGAUAACGCACAUAUGCUGGAAUGCUUUAUGCGUAAAAUGGAUUCGUCUGCCCAAGGAUGGGUCUGCGGCCUAUCAGGUAGUAGUGGGUGUAAUGUACCUACUAGCCUACGACGGGUACGGGUUGUGAGAGCAAGAGCCCGGAGAUGGAUUCUGAGACACGAAUCCAGGCCCUACGGGGCGCAGCAGGCGCGAAAACUUUACAAUGCGGGAAACCGUGAUAAGGGGACACCGAGUGCCANCAUCAUAUGCUGGCUGUCCAGGUGUGUAAAAUACACCUGUUAGCAAGGGCCGGGCAAGACCGGUGCCAGCCGCCGCGGUAACACCGGCGGCCCGAGUGGUGAUCGUGAUUAUUGGGUCUAAAGGGUCCGUAGCCGGUUUGGUCAGUCCUCCGGGAAAUCUGAUAGCUCAACUAUUAGGCUUUCGGAGGAUACUGCCAGACUUGGAACCGGGAGAGGUAAGAGGUACUACAGGGGUAGGAGUGAAAUCUUGUAAUCCCUGUGGGACCACCUGUGGCGAAGGCGUCUUACCAGAACGGGUUCGACGGUGAGGGACGAAAGCUGGGGGCACGAACCGGAUUAGAUACCCGGGUAGUCCCAGCCGUAAACGAUGCUCGCUAGGUGUCAGGCAUGGCGCGACCGUGUCUGGUGCCGCAGGGAAGCCGUGAAGCGAGCCACCUGGGAAGUACGGCCGCAAGGCUGAAA
Molecule: ribosomal RNA, 733 nt
Filed under: uncultured archaeon S30-16
Lineage: Archaea
Description: bacterial SSU rRNA
Rfam family: Archaeal small subunit ribosomal RNA
Source: RNAcentral